Molecule: RNA transcript, 4095 nt
Organism: Magnolia sinica
Lineage: Eukaryota; Viridiplantae; Streptophyta; Magnoliopsida; Magnoliales; Magnoliaceae
Gene name: cell division control protein 6 homolog B-like
Exons: 17
Source: RefSeq, a predicted model, not a curated record
GGUUUUUUCUUUUUGUAGGGCACGAACUUGUUGGAGCUGGAUGGGAGAGGGAGAUACUGCUGAGAGAGGGAGAAGGGGACUGAUAGAGACGUAGAUGGAGACGCUGGAGGGCUUCGAAGCUGUUAUAUAGCAAUACUACCCAUCUACCGUCUUCAAUAAAGCUACCAACAGGCUGCUCUGGAGCUUCAAUGGCAGCCUCAGCCUUCAAUUGCCGCGUUUGCCUUCAUUGCGUCUGAAUGCAGCUAGGCUUCCUUCAAUGCAACUGUGCAUCUCCCAAGACAUAUCAAAUUCGAAAAUUCGGACCGUUACCAGUAUCAAAGAUACAGGUAACUUGAAAAACGACUACUCUCCCUGUGACAUUUUCAGUUCUUUCUCCUAUAAGAAAGUCACAGGUUGAGAGAAUGUUAAUUGUGACUUUUCUCCCCCAAACACCAACUGCAAGAAUGUCACCCGUAACUUUGUUACAUUUUAGAGAAGUUACAGGCAUCCAAACGGCCCCUUAGAGCAGGUAGGUGGUCCUGCAACAAGCUACGUUUCCAUCUCCCUUUCCCAAAUUUAAAAAAAAGUAGCUGUUGACUGUAAGAAAGUAACCAGUGAGUGGAAAAACACCAUAUUCCUUUGUAACAUCUCUUGCUUCUUCACCUGAUACAAAGUCACAGGUUGAAACUUUGUCACCUGUAAGAUUUCUCCCCCGAAUACCAACAGUAAGAAAGUUACUUGUAACUUUCUUACAUUUUUCAGAAGUUACAGGCAAAAUGCCGAAGAGCAAAAUUAAAAAAGGGGAGCGACCGAGAUCCAAAUUGAUGAUGCAGAGUCCAUUUGAUUCUCCGCCGAAACGUAGAUCGGCACGCAGAUGCUCGGAUGGGAACCAAAAUGAUAAUGUGAAUGUAAGUUUUCCAGAGAAAUCUAGUGAGAUCGAAUUGAGAGGGGUUUCCAUGCGGAAACGGAAGCGAUCGAGAUCUGAAUUGAUGCUGGAGAGUCCACUCGAUUCUCCUGUGAAACGGGGAUCGCCUCGCAGAUCAACAAACAUGACCCGAGAUGGCGAUGCGGAUGCGAGCUUUUCUGAGAAAUUCAGUGAGAUUGGAUCUGGAGAGGUUUCCAUGCCGAAACGGAUGAAAUUGAAAUCUGUGAUGCCGGGGAGCCAGAUUGAUUCUCCAGGGAAAUGGAAAUCACCUCGUAGAUGCAUGAAUGGGAUCCAAAACGAGGAUAUGAAUGGGAGCAUGACUGGAUCAAGAGAAGUUUCCACACCAGAACAGAAGAAUUCAAGAUUCGCCGAAUCAAUGCUAGAGAGUCGGCACAAUUCUCCAGUGAAAAGGAGAUCACCUCGCAGAUGCACAAAUGGGCUCAUGAACAUGAGUUCUGCUGAUAAAUCCAUUGGAAGUGGGUCAAUAGAGGUAUUGACACCCAAAAAGAAGAAAUCAAUAUCUAAGUCGACGCCAGAGAGACCUGCGGUUUCUCCGGUGAAAUGGACAUCACCUCGCAGAUGCCCAAAUGGGGUCAUGAAUGUGAGUUCUAUUGAAAAAUCCAUCGAAAAUGGGUCAAUGGAGGUCUUAACACCCAAAAGGAAGAAAUCAAUAUCCAAGUCGACGCCAGAGAGACCGGCAGUUUCUCCGGCGAAAUGGACAUCACCUCGUAGAAUCACGAAUGGGACCCAAACCAGUGAUGCAAAUGGAAUUCUCAAAGAUUCUGAUAGUAGACUUGUGCAGUCGCCCAAAUCACCAAGGAGAAGACUGUUGGAUCAUUUCCCUCAGAAACCCAGGUGGAAUCCCAGAGAUUCUGCACAGAUGAAUGCAGUGAAGGAAGCUUUGCAUGUAUCCACGGCACCAUCUGGUGUUCUAUGCCGGGAAGAGGAGCAGAAAAGGGUGUUUGAGUUCUGCAAGGCAUGCAUUGAACAUGAGAAGGCAGGUAGUUCAUACAUAUGUGGAUGUCCAGGGACUGGGAAGACAUUGUCCAUGGAGAAAGUGAAGGAACAAUUGCUAGGAUGGGCAAAAGAGAGGGGAUUGCAACCACCAGAUGUAUUAGCUAUAAAUUGUACUUCGCUUACGGCCACUUCUGACAUUUUCAGCAAGAUAUUUGAAAGAUACCGCCCACGAAAGAAGAUAAAUGGAACUUGCUUGCCUCUUCAGCACUUGCAGAACUUGUUCUCUCAAAAGAAACAGGGAAGGAUGAUGUUGGUGUUUGUUGAUGAGAUGGACUAUUUAAUCACUAAAGAUCGGUCCGUGCUUCAUGAUCUUUUCAUGCUUACAACUUUUCCGUUCUCCACAUUCAUAUUAAUAGGAAUAGCAAAUGCAAUCGACCUUGCUGAUCGCUUUCUUCCGAAACUUCAGUCAUUGAAUUGCAAGCCCAUGGUUGUAACUUUUCGUGCUUACUCUAAGGAACAGAUUCUCAGAAUCCUUCAGCAGAGGCUUAUGGCUCUGGCGUAUGAUUCUUUCCAACCUCAAGCACUGGAGCUUUGUGCCAGAAAAGUAGCUGCUGCAUCCGGAGAUAUGAGAAAAGCACUCAGUGUCUGCAGGAGUGCAAUUGAGAUGCUAGAGGCUGACCUACGGGACCUGUCAGCAGGGAAGGCACCAUCUGCUCAGCUAGUAACUCCUGCAAGUGAAUUACUAACAAAACAAGAAAUGGACGUUGUAAGGGUGGAUCAUAUGGCUCUUGCUCUGUCAAAGACAUUCAAGUCAGUAAUAGUUGAUACUAUACAAUCUCUUCCGCAACACCAACAAAUAUUACUUUGCUCUGCUGUGAAGCUCUUUCGCAGGGCAAAGAAGGAUACAACCAUCGGAGAGCUGAAUAAAUCCUAUUCUGACAUCUGUAAGACUGCACUAGUUCCCCAGGCUAGCAUGUUGGAAUUCUCAAACAUGUGCAGAGUGCUUGGUGACCAGGGGCUUCUCAAACUUGGUCAAUCUCGGGAAGAGAAACUGAAGAGAGUGACAUUGAAGGUGGAUGAAGGCGACAUUACUUUCGCCUUGCAGGGGAUUCGCUUCUUUCGGAACUGCCUUCAAUAAUGCUGGUCAUGAGGACAGAUGAAAUCAUAUUUCCUUUCUUGGGUUUGACCGAACCUGCUAGUCAAGUGCCUACUGAAAAUUUGCUGUCAUCCCUCCAGUGGGGGCAUCACUUACAAGAUUCCAGUGUUUCAUGAGCUAAGCAUAUAGAACUUGAUUGUCAAUUCGUCAGAUGAAAAGUGAAAUUGGAGGGGGGAGAUGUGCAUCCAUCUUCUAAAAUUGGAACAUCAACUUGCUGACAUCUCCACUAAGGCCUGGAGGAGAGAGUGUCAAAGAUGGUUAACAAGCUACAUGCUAGACAUACAUUCUCUAGUUUGAGUGUGACUGCUGCGUCUCAUAUUCUUCUCUUGUCAUUUUCCCUAUUUAGUUUUAUCUUUUGUUCUUGCAUUUUAAAUCCACACUGGGGAUAUUGUAAACAAUUCUUUAUUGAAAGGAACAAAAGCUCUUUCAUCGGUCAAAAAAAAAAAAAAAAGAAAAAAAGAAAGAAAGAAAAAAAAAAAAAAGAGAAGAAAGAAAAGAAAAAAGAAAAAGAAAAGAAGAAGAGAGCUCUUAUGCCUCCAUCAGUGCCUAUUUCCAGAUUUUGCAUAACAAUAUACAUUUCAGUUUGCAAAACGCAGCAGUACUAGGUGUGUCCUCUAUGACUUUGCAUCUCAUGCCCAAAACACUCAAGAUUGUACUUCCAAAUAGGCCUGGGAAGACGUGAUCCCAGGUGGAUACUUGAAAUGUCCCCCCUCUUCCAGGUCUGUUACAAAAACCAAGAUUUGCUUUCCAAGUAUCAAAUGUGUGCCACGGGCAAAUAGAACAGCUUUCAGUAGUAUCAAUACAGUCAUAUGGAUUGUAAAUGCAUGAAUGUGGUGUACCAAAAAUUCUGCAGUUCAUAAUAGAAUAGCUAAGAAAGCGACUUUGCUGCCUAUUGCUAUUAAAUCACCACCCCCCAAGUCAAGCUGGUGCUUGUUGUUGCACCAGGUGCUAGAGCACGAGUAUUUUGUGAGCAGACAUGGGUUGUAAUUGUACACCAGUAUCUGAAAACAUUUCUCAGGAAUGCCCUAAACCACUCAUCGUAUCAUUAUGAAUACACAAACCAAAACUUUUUACGGAA